UCUCGAGAAGGGAAAAGAAGAGAGCUGCCCUUGGUAGUAAAGGAGAUCUAAAAACAGAGGAAGACAGUGAGGAAAGUCAAGCAGAAAAUGGCAUACUUCAACAGCUCCUCUCCAUUCCUGACCUACCGCCCUCACUUCAACCCCCUCCUCCAGGCGGGUGGAAAAUCAACAUGAACACUGAGUGGGGUUGAGUGACAUUCACUUUGAGGGUUCAGAUGACUGUUAAGCCAAUACCCAACAUUAAUAAAAAGGAGGAAUGGUUCAGAAAACCAAUAUUAUUUCAGUUUUUAAAGGAUUUUCAGCAUGAAAGGAAGAUUUCACUUGUUGUUUGUUGCUGUUUUUCAUUUGAAUAAUAAAUUUACUUCUCUUAGAUGAG
Molecule: non-coding RNA, 376 nt
Organism: Neolamprologus brichardi
Lineage: Eukaryota; Metazoa; Chordata; Actinopteri; Cichliformes; Cichlidae
Source: RefSeq, a predicted model, not a curated record